RNAcentral lists this ribosomal RNA (497 nucleotides) under uncultured bacterium. RNAcentral describes it as "partial 16S ribosomal RNA". It matches the Rfam family "Bacterial small subunit ribosomal RNA", at positions 28 to 507 of the family's 1533-position model. The record is from RNAcentral.
GACGAACGCUGGCGGCGUGCCUAAUACAUGCAAGUUGAGCGAUGAAGCUUGGUGCUUGCCCCAAUUUGAAGAGCAGCGAACGGGUGAGUAACGCGUGGGGAAUCUGCCUUUGAGCGGGGGACAACAUUUGGAAACGAAUGCUAAUACCGCAUAACAACUUUAAACAUAAGUUUUAAGUUUGAAAGAUGCAAUUGCAUCACUCAAAGAUGAUCCCGCGUUGUAUUAGCUAGUUGGUGAGGUAAAGGCUCACCAAGGCGAUGAUACAUAGCCGACCUGAGAGGGUGAUCGGCCACAUUGGGACUGAGACACGGCCCAAACUCCUACGGGAGGCAGCAGUAGGGAAUCUUCGGCAAUGGACGAAAGUCUGACCGAGCAACGCCGCGGGAGUGAAGAAGGGUGUCGGAUCGUAAAACUCUGUUGGUAGAGAAGAACGUUGGUGAGAGUGGAAAGCUCAUCAAGUGACGGUAACUACCCAGAAAGGGACGGCUAACUACGUG